CCACCUAAAAAAUGAACAUAUAUGAAAGCACAAAAAACAUGAACAAUAUUUAGAAUAUUAGAAAUAUUUGUAAACAGAUGAGGAUCUCGAAUCUUCAGAUUCUCAAUUUAAUAAAUUGCAGAGUUCACAUAAAAGUUAAAAGUAAAGAUUAUUUCAUUACACCCACCCAGCUGGGAACCAGUAACAAAUAGAACAAGAAGUGAACUAGUAAAGACCUAAAUAAAGCGGAAUAUGGUAAAAAGAAAUAAGGUAUAGUAGUGAUUGAAACAUUAGAAAGAACUACAUGUCAUGACAAGUUGCAAAUGACUGCCAAAUAACCAGAAUCUGUUGAACUUUAUUAAUGUGCACAUUACAUAUUCAGAAAAUAUUAGAAAAAUGAUGUUCAAUGCUAUCGGGAUGUUCAUGACAGAUAAAAUUGGUUUGAAAGGUAGUAUGAUUUAGCCUAACCAUAUAUUUCUUAAGAAAAUUAACAAAUAACUUUAAACAAACAACUCAGAAGCAUGAGGUCCGGCACCUAUGUGCAGAAAGUUAAGUAGGAAAAAGCUAUAGUCAAGUUUAAUAAAGGAACCUGGAGAAUUUUGAAACAAAGCGUACUACUCUUUGUAGAACACGAGAACUGGCUUGUGUCAGUAGAAAAAGAGAACAAAAGCUUCAAUGAAAUAUUAGCAAUAUUUACAUCAAACCUAAGUAUAACGGACACGCCAACACGUGAUUUUCCGAAAAAGUAGGACAUAGACACAUCGAUUUAAAUCCUUUGAAAUUUUAAAUUCAUUUAUUGUAUCUUUAUUUUAAUAUUUUUUUAUAUAGGACAUGGUACAUAGCAUGUCUGACACUUGAGUGAAUGGUAUCUCUAAAGUAUCCCUCUAGGUCAGCAAUUAAAAAAAAUAUAAAAAAUGGGACAAGGGCACAUAGCUUGUUUGACACACGUCUUAUGUCCGAGGAGUGUCUAGGUCCGACACAUGCCCACAUAGGAGGAGUAUCGGUGUAUCAUAGCAUCAAACUAUUACCAAAGACAAGCCACCAUCCAUAUAUCAGGCCUACAUUAACAAAUGAGACGUUUCUAAAGUAGCUUAAUAUAGUGAUGAUAAGAAGUGGCUACCUUUAUCUGUGCUGACGGGAAGACUUGCUGCUGAGGGUGGUCGUGCAACAAUCUCCUUCUUGUUGCCCCUUCGAAGGCAAAAAACAAGUCCAAGUAUAACGAAGAGUACUGCAAGUGAAGAUCCUAUAACUAUACCUAUAAUAGGUCCAGUAUUCAACCCAUUCUUUUUAUUUCCGUUGUGUUGAUUAGGAAGUGGGCGAUCAGAAUCCGGAGAUUGGCCAGGCGGAGGGCGAUUUCUGUUAUUGCGAGAGCUAACUGGAGGCGGCGAGGUGUACGGCGGUGGCGGUGGAGCUGGGCCAUUGGCAAAUGCAUUUCCAUCAUAACUGUUUUCGAUAUACAAGGCACACUAACAAAAUAAGAUCAUUAUAAUUACACAAGAUAUUGAAAUGCAUGCAGUCACUCACAUAAAUUUAGGCAUAGAGCUUAGUUCCUUUGGUAUCCACCCACUAAAUUGGUUGUUGGCAACAUUUCUGCAGAAAAUAAUAUCAGCAAGAAUAUUUACAUGAUAUCCUAAAUGGUAUCAGGAAUCUAAAUGGGAGAGCGAAGAGUAGGGGAGAGAUCUUUACAAGUUAGUCAAAGGCAAACCAACUAAGAUGUUGAGAGAACCAGUAAGUUGGUUGUUUUGCACAUGGCUGCCAAAAGACAAAUAUUCAGACGAAUUAAGCAAUGAACACAACGCCCACAAAAGAGAGGUCCAGUAUUCAACCCAUUCUUUUUAUUUCCGUUGUGUUGAUUAGGAAGUGGGCGAUCAGAAUCCGGAGAUUGGCCAGGCGGAGGGCGAUUUCUGUUAUUGCGAGAGCUAACUGGAGGCGGCGAGGUGUACGGCGGUGGCGGUGGAGCUGGGCCAUUGGCAAAUGCAUUUCCAUCAUAACUGUUUU
Molecule: long non-coding RNA, 1977 nt
Filed under: Olea europaea (common olive)
Lineage: Eukaryota; Viridiplantae; Streptophyta; Magnoliopsida; Lamiales; Oleaceae
Description: long non-coding RNA (OEUR_LNC003981)
Source: RNAcentral